UUUCGUUGAUUUUUAUCAGGUUCCUGUUCUGAUAAAAGUUAGUGAAAAAUCUUUCACUAACGUAGAAACUCGCCGUGAUGACACCGAGUUACUACGUUUUUUU
Molecule: non-coding RNA, 103 nt
Filed under: uncultured Enterococcus sp.
Lineage: Bacteria; Bacillati; Bacillota; Bacilli; Lactobacillales; Enterococcaceae
Description: 23S methyl RNA motif
Rfam family: 23S methyl RNA motif
Source: RNAcentral